Siniperca chuatsi (mandarin fish) is the source of this 2716-nucleotide RNA transcript. It is a transcript of the gene named lin-9 DREAM MuvB core complex component, with no coding region annotated. The record is from RefSeq and is a predicted model, not a curated record. Lineage: Eukaryota; Metazoa; Chordata; Actinopteri; Centrarchiformes; Sinipercidae. The transcript has 15 exons.
UUUCUCAAAUCGCCCUCCAGAUAGCGUCCCGACCCAGAAUGCAUUUUGACAAGGUCUUUGAAAAAGCGGCGCGGCUAAUUCAAGAUGGCGGAGAUGGACCAGCUGUUAGACGAGAGCUCUUCAGCAGAGGCACUUGUCAGUCUUAAAGAAGGGAGUUUGUCCAACACUCUGAAUGAAAAGAACAGCUUUCCAAGAGCUCACAACACCAGGGGACGACAUUCCUCCCUCACAAUGGACACGCCCACACGGAGCUCAAAGAGAAGCCGUUUGUUUCGGGAGGAGGAUGAGCAGCCCCAGCAGCGUCUCCCCUCCAGAUCCCCUCGGAGGAGCCAAAGGGUCUCCACCACACCACAGAAAUUUUCUAAUGUGAUGACACCAGAUAAGAAGGCGUCCCAGAAAAUAGGGCUGAGAUUAAGAAACCUCCUUAAGCUACCCAAAGCUCACAAAUGGUGCAUCUAUGAAUGGUUCUAUUCCAAUAUAGACAGACCUCUCUUUGAGGGUGACAAUGAAUUCUGCCUGUGUCUGAAGGAGUCGUUCCCCAACCUGAAAACAAGAAAAUUGACAAGGGUUGAGUGGGGAACAAUCAGGAGACUGAUGGGGAAACCUCGACGGUGUUCGUCAGCAUUCUUUGCUGAGGAACGGACAGCGCUGAGGCAGAAGAGGCAGAAGAUGCGCCUGCUGCAGCAAAGAAAACUGUCUGACGUGUCAAACUGCAAAGACCUUCCAGAUGAAAUCCCUUUGCCACUCAUCAUAGGGACAAAAGUCACUGCCCGACUCCGAGGCGUUCAUGAUGGGUUGUUCACAGGGCAGAUCGAUGCAGUGGACACCAGUGCUGCCACCUAUCGUGUCACCUUUGACCGCAGUGGCCUGGGAACACACACUGUGCCUGACUAUGAAGUCCUGAGCAAUGAGCCCAAUGAGACCAUGCCCAUUUCAGCCUUUGCCCAGAAGCAUCGAGCAUCACGCUACAUGCAGAACCUCAUGACUCCACCUAGAGGGCCUUACCCAUCCGCUACCACUCCUGUCCUCAUGGACAAUGACCCUCUUAUCAACCAGUCACCAUGGAGGAACAAACUGCCCGGUGCUGAGGGAGAUACUCUGGGAGGAUUUCCUGUCAAAUUCCUUGUCCAAGUGACAAGGCUGUCCAAGAUCCUCAUGAUCAAGAAAGAGCACAUCAAGCACUUAAAAGAAAUGAACACAGAGGCAGAGAAACUGAAGUCGUAUUCGAUGCCUAUUGACCUAGACUUCCAGAAGCGAUAUGCUACCACAGUGCUUGAGCUUGAACAGCUCAAUAAAGAUCUCAACAAGGUGCUUCAUGAAGUUCAACAGUUCUGCUGUGAGCUUGCUCCAGAUCAGGGCAUGGUUCCAGCUGACCAUCCCACAGAUCUGCGGCGGCGUUGUGAAGAUGAGGCCCAGCAGAUGGUGCAGCUGAGCAACUCACUGAAGGACGGACAGCCGAGUGUGACAAACCCCAGCCUCACACAGCUCAUCUCCCGCCUCACGGCUCUGCUGCUACAGAUCAAGUGUCUGGCAGAUGGAGGAGACCUGAAUUCAUUUGAGUUUAAAUCUCUAACAGACUCCCUUAAUGACAUCAAGGCAUCUAUUGAUCCCUCCAACCUCAGGUAAAAAGACCCUGCAGUGUUUCUAACUACACUUCUUGGUCACACUACACGCGACGGUGGAUGGGAUGGUUCGAAUGGCAUACACGAUUGCUUCCAGAAUAAUGUCGAGAUCCACGUGGCACACAUCCAGAGCGGCCUUAGUCAGCUGGGCAAUCUGCACGCAUUUGCUGCCAACAACACCAAUGCAGUCUGAGUACCUGCAUCAUCUACACCACACACAGGUGCAUGCACACACAGGGGAGUGUCUUUUGAGAUGGUGCUUUCACCUGAACUGUUAAAAGACUGCAAAUAAAUCCCACGUGGAUGUUGUGGACCACCACCACCCAAUCUGAAUUUGGAUGUCCAUGUGAAACGACUCAGAGUUCUGCCCAGACUCCUGGAGCUUUGUGCUGACCGGAGGGAGGAUGUCCUAAGUAUUUUACCCACCCAUUUUAUUGUAUGAAAAUGUUGGUGCACCCAAUUGAACACAAACCUGAAAGAGUCUUAAACUAUUGCCACCAAUCCACAUCUCUAAACUCAACAAAUGGUUAUUUAUUGGUUUCAUGUGCCAAACAUUGAUUCUUACAGUUUUUAUAGUCCAUAUUUAUUUAUUUUUGAGUAGGUGUGUAUGGUUAUGAAACAAUAUUUUGCUAUUUCUAAAGUUUCCCCCUGUAAGUGUUGUGUUCUGUUGCUCCACUGAUGGUAAGCACGGGGAGGCUAAAGAAUGUUUUAUAAAAUUGUUUAUUGUAGAUAAUUGUACAAUAUCUCUGAUUAUUAGGACUAUUGUCAACAUUUCUGCUGUGUAUUUAGAAAUGGCUUUUGUAAUUUUGUGUGCACUGAAAAGAGAUUUUGGUAUUUUUAUAAAGGAGAACUCUGGGGUUUUGAUGUCUUUUACUCCCUAAGAUGAUCUUAGCAUUUCCAUAUUUGGCAUGGCUGUUGCUGCAACUCCCACACUAAGCCUGCAUCACAGAUGUAACCUCGAAAAAUUCAAGUCAGCAGUUUUUUCCUAGAGAAUCUCCUUUUUUCAGUUUUGUAAAGUUGUAUAUGAGAGUGCCUCAGGGCAAUUGUAUAUAAAUGUUUCUGUCUUUUUAUAUUAAACAUAAUAUUGCAACACA